AGAGUUUGAUCCUGGCUCAGAUUGAACGCUGGCGGCAGGCCUAACACAUGCAAGUCGAGCGGCAGCGGGAAAGUAGCUUGCUACUUUUGCCGGCGAGCGGCGGACGGGUGAGUAAUGCCUGGGAAAUUGCCCAGUCGAGGGGGAUAACAGUUGGAAACGACUGCUAAUACCGCAUACGCCCUACGGGGGAAAGCAGGGGACCUUCGGGCCUUGCGCGAUUGGAUAUGCCCAGGUGGGAUUAGCUUGUUGGUGAGGUAAUGGCUCACCAAGGCGACGAUCCCUAGCUGGUCUGAGAGGAUGAUCGGCCACACUGGAACUGAGACACGGUCCAGACUCCUACGGGAGGCAGCAGUGGGGAAUAUUGCACAAUGGGGGAAACCCUGAUGCAGCCAUGCCGCGUGUGUGAAGAAGGCCUUCGGGUUGUAAAGCACUUUCAGCGAGGAGGAAAGGUUGGUAGCUAAUAACUGCCAACUGUGACGUUACUCGCAGAAGAAGCACCGGCUAACUCCGUGCCAGCAGCCGCGGUAAUACGGAGGGUGCAAGCGUUAAUCGGAAUUACUGGGCGUAAAGCGCACGCAGGCGGUUGGAUAAGUUAGAUGUGAAAGCCCCGGGCUCAACCUGGGAAUUGCAUUUAA
RNAcentral lists this ribosomal RNA (635 nucleotides) under uncultured bacterium. Its description in RNAcentral is "bacterial SSU rRNA". It matches the Rfam family "Bacterial small subunit ribosomal RNA", at positions 8 to 630 of the family's 1533-position model. The record is from RNAcentral.